Molecule: long non-coding RNA, 5074 nt
Organism: Cydia splendana
Lineage: Eukaryota; Metazoa; Arthropoda; Insecta; Lepidoptera; Tortricidae
Exons: 2
Source: RefSeq, a predicted model, not a curated record
UUUCUAUCUUGUAAUAAGCUUGUAAAGUUAAUUGGUUUUUGCCGGUUUUUAUGUGCGUCUACGAAAUCGUUUUUGUGUUUUCCACAUGCAAAGCAUUGUGCGUAAUUUAACAUGGAAAAGACAGAAGAAGAACGACGUCAAUUAGUUGCGCGCAGAGGCACAAAGAAAGGUACUCUAACUAGAUUGAAAAACAAAAUGGAAGAAUCGUAUAUAAACGAUAUAGAAAUGCUAAAACUGAUGGUUGAGAGGGCCCAGACGGCAUUCCACGAUUAUGAAGAUCUGUGCGAGAAAAUAGGCGAUGAAGAGGAUCCCAUUGCUGUCGAAACGACUUAUUAUGAAUGCGUCGCAGCAAUGCGUCGACGAAUUGCGGAUUUAUCUGCACCUGGACCCACCCCUGCCGUUUUGCUGGCAGCGACGCCUCAAGUGUCGUCGAAAGUGAAGUUACCGAAUGUACAAAUACCAUCAUUCAAUGGCAAGUAUACAGAAUACAGACCUUUCAUAGAAAUGUUUACUGCCCUUGUGCACAACAAUGAAGGGUUCGACAAUAUACAAAAGUUUUUUUACCUGAGAAGCUUCUUAAAAGCUGAAGCAUUUGAUUUAAUCAAAAACUUACCUGUCAUUGGUCAAAGUUAUUCGGAAGCUCUCAAAAUUUUAGCUGAUAGGUACGAUAAUAAAUAUAAAAUCAUCAAUGAGCACAUAAAUGCUUUGUUUGAGUUGCCAAUGCUAACUAAGUCAAGUCCUAGUGCUUUACGCUCUUUGAUUUCAAUAACAAAACAGCAUUUAGCUGCAUUAAAAAACCUUGAUGAGGCCAUUGAAAAAUGGGACAGCGUUCUCAUUUGCCUAUUAAACAAAAAACUAGACCCGGUAACUAACCGAGAGUGUCAUUUGCAUAGGGAUUCCUCAAAACAACCAACCUUUAAUGAUUUUUUGAAAUUUGUAGAAGGUCGGGCCCUUGCCCUAGAGAACAGUGAGGGACGGGGUGAUACAGCAAGCUGUGCUGCUGGCAAGGUAGCUCCAGUGAAGAUGGCAUCAUCAUCAUUUGUCACUACCAAAGCAUCCCAAGGCUGUCUGUACUGUGUGCCUGUUGUCGCAGCCUGAGGAGCUGCGCGAUCCUGAUGCCGCACCCAGCUUGGUUCACACACAGUUUGGUUACAUAGUAGGAGGUGAUGUUCCAUCUUCUAUUCUUAAACGACCUGCUGUUUCUCUUUUCUGUCAAGAAUGUCAAACUGAUGUACGCGAUACUAUGUCUAAUUUUUGGCAAACAGAAAAGGUGCCUGAAAUAUAUGCGGAACAUACAUCUGAACAACAACAGUGCGAAAAAUUGUUCACUGAAACUGUCAAACUUGAAGACAAUCAAUUUACAGUUUCAUUGCCAUUAAAAAUACCUAUCUAUGAUGUGAACAAUACAUUGGGGGAUUCAUUUGGGUUAGCUCUCAAGAGAUUUUAUAAUCUCGAGAAGAGAUUUCAGAAGGAUCAGAAGUUGUAUGAAGGUUAUAAGGAUUUCAUACAUGAAUAUCUCGACUUAGGUCAUGGAUCAUAUGUUGACAUUUCCUCAUAUGAUCUUACUAAAGAUCCUGUGUACUUUAUGGGACAUUCAGCUGUUUUAAGGCCGGAUGCAGUAAGUACCAAGCUCCGGGUAGUCUUUGAUGGAUCUAUGUUAACGAGUAAUAAGAUUUCAUUGAAUAAUAUUUUAAUGAAUGGACCAACUGUUCAACAGGAACUGUUCGACAUACUGUUGUCAUUUAGAGUGCACAAAUAUUUCAUUGCUUGUGAUGUCAGGCGUAUGUUCCGAAAUAUAUUAGUACAGAAAGAUCAGCGAUCUUUGCAAAAUAUUCUCUGGCGAGACACUCCUAAUGAGUCAAUGAAAUGUAUUCAGCUAAACACAGUUUGCUAUGGAAUGAAGUCAUCAAGUUAUCUUUCAACAAGAUGCUUGAACGAGCUGGCUACGAAAUUCGAGAGGCAAUAUCCUCUAGCCAGUUCUGCAAUACUAAACUCUACCUAUGUAGAUGACAUCAUUCAUACAGAGGAUAGUUUGGCAAAGAUUGUUGACACUCAAACUCAAUUGAUAGAAUUACUUGCUAAGGGUAGUUUUAAACUACAUAAAUGGGCAGCUAAUGACUCUUCAAUUUUGACAAAUAUUCCAGCAGAGCAGCAGGUUGUUGGAGAACUGGAACUGAAUAAGGACAUCAAAACUUUAGGUUUAAAGUUAGAUAUUGACUCUGAUUCGUUUAAACUUUCAUGUCCAUUGUCAAAAAAUGUCCCUAAGACAAAAAGACAGAUUUUAAGUUACAUAAGCCAAUUCUAUGACCCUUUAGGUCUAGCGGGACCCGUUUUUGUCCAAGCUAAAAUCAUUAUGCAAAAAUUGGCUCAGGCUUGUACCGACUGGGACUCAGUGCCCUCGCCUAUUUUACUAAAAGAAUGGCUUGAAUUUUACAAUGAUUUGCAGACAAUGAAAGAAAUUAAAAUAAAACGAAAUGUUACUGUUGACAACAUUCAGUCUGCUCAGCUAGUAGCAUUUGGUGAUGCCUCAAUUUCUGCAUAUGGAGCAGCCAUUUAUUUAAGAGUCACUGACAAGCAUGGCAAAGUAUCGAUGUCGCUUCUUUGUUCUAAGAGUCGCAUUGCAUCUAAAGACAAGAAAUUGACUGUGCCACGAUUAGAAUUAAAUGCAUCUCUUUUGAUGGCAAAAUUAUGCUUUAGAGCAUACAAUACUUUAAGUAAAAAGAUAUCUAUUAAAAGUGUGCAUCUUUUCAGUGAUUCUCAGGUUGUUUUGGCAUGGCAAAAAACGGAUCCAACAAAACUAAAUGCUUAUGUUGCUAAUAGAGUCAAAUUAAUAAACGAAUAUACAAAGGGUUUUCAAUGGUUGUAUAUAAAAACAGACCUCAAUCCUUCUGACUGUUUGAGUCGAGGUGUAAAACCUAGUGAACUACAAAGUAACCAACUGUGGUGGUGCGGACCGACUAGCAUGUCUGAUCCGGAGUAUAAAUUCACUGAUGAUAGUAACAAUGUACCUGACAACCUACCGGAGAUCAAGCAUGCUGAUGGUUCCAAGCCGGUGUGUAUGGCAUCAUAUCAAUCGGUUUCUCUUGCAAAUGAUUUGUUAGAUAAGUUUUCUAACAUUAAUAAGGCAGUUAAUGUGCUUGCCUACAUACAAAGAUUCUGUAAGAAUGUAAGGCCAGGUUCACAAAAGAUAAAACUUAAUUUUAUUACUUUUAGCGAGGCAACCCAGGCAUUGCAUAUGUUUAUAAAGAAUGAGCAGGAAAGGUUCUUUGAUAAAGAGCUGGCCUCUUUGCGGGCAGGUAGGCAAGUUUCGUCGUAUUUACUAUCUGUCAACCCCUUCAUUGAUGCUAACGGUAUUCUCAGAGUAGGUGGACGUUUGCAGCACUCCUCCUUACCUUAUAGCCAUAAGCAUCAGAUAAUCUUACCAAAAGAAUCUAAGGUCACUUACCUUAUUAUUGAAAAUGAACAUUUAAAGCUUUUACACGCCAGUCAGAAAGAAGUACUUAGCAAUUUAAGUCAACGCUAUUAUAUAGUUAACGGUUUGAGAUUGGUAAAAAAGUUUGUGAAUAAAUGUCUCACAUGUUUUAGACUGAAAGGUGUAACAGCAAAACAGCUGAUGGGUUCAUUACCCGCUGGUAGAGUCAGCAUAGAUCGAGUGUUUGCUAAGGUUGGUAUAGACUUUGCGGGACCAAUCCUGAUAAAGCAGUCAAGAGUGAGAAGUGUUGUCACUACUAAAGGUUAUAUUGCUGUGUAUGUGUGCUUUGUUACCAAAGCCAUACAUUUAGAGUUAGUGUCAGAUCUCACCACUGAUACAUUCUUGGCUAGCUUCAAACGAUUUAUUGCUAGACGUAAUGUUCCAACAGAGGUCUAUUGUGAUAAUGCCGCUACUUUUAAGUCGGCUAGUACUCAGUUGUCUGAGUUAUAUAAAUUGAAUAAUAAUAAAUGUCAUCAAAUUCAAGUUCAAAAUGUAACUGCAAAAUUGGGAACAACAUUCCAUUUCAUACCGAGUUACUCUCCGGUUUUUGGUGGUCUAUGGGAGGCCGCAGUAAAAAGUGUUAAAUAUCAUUUGAAAAGAAUGUUGGGCUCACAUGUUUUAACAUAUGAAUUGUUGUACACGGCACUUGUUCAAAUUGAAAGCAUUUUGAACUCGAGGCCUAUAACGCCAAUGUCAUCAGACAUUGAGGACCUCUCCUAUUUAACGCCAGGGCACUUCUUAACUGGUGCGCCCUUAACUUGCUAUCCUGAGCAGGAUAUCACGAACUUACCUGAUAAUAGAUUGAAGUUUUGGAGGAAAUGUACUGCUCUGCAGCAGCAUUUUUGGCGAUAUUGGUCUAAACAAUACCUUAAUGUCUUACAAAACCGUCCUAAAUGGAAGGCCGCCUUGCCUAAUAUUAAAGUAGGUACUCUAGUUAUCUUGCGUGAAAUAGAUACUCCGCCUAUGACUUGGCCAAUGGCUAGAGUUACCAAGGUUUUUCCAGGUCAGGAUGGAAAGAUAAGAGCCUUAGAAGUAAAAAAGGCUAAUGGUAAAGUUCAUACAACUUCUAUUACUAAAGUGUGUAUACUACCUUUAGAUGAAUAGGUAGUGUUUCAAAAUGUUAUUAUAUGGUAUUUUAAUAUUUUGGUUAAGUAUUAUGGCUAAUAUCCUACUGAAUUGUACUGAUACUUAAUUUAUAACUGUAAGUAGGUAGUCAUGUACUAUGUGUUGAUGCUGGUUGCAUCUAAUGUAUAAGAUGUUUAUUUAGUUACAUAAAAUGUGUCUUAUCUUAUAUUUGUUACUUACUGUUUCAUAUCUACUUUCAUAGCAAUCUUGUAAACUUAUUAAGUUAUUAGUAAGAGUUAUAUUAAUUUCAAUUUCACAAACCUUAAAAGAUUACAGUCCGCUCUAGAUAUUGAAGUAUACAAGGGAGCUAAUGUGAAAUGUAGUUUAAUAUUUAAUAAGGUAUUAAUUUGUACCUAGUUAUGUUAUUUUAUGUUGGCGGAAUAUGUUGCAGAAUGGAGUUUUUAUCCCAACAUUAAAAAGUUUAUGUCAAUAUUGUCAACUGUCUUCUUGGAAAAUAUAUCUUUCGUUUCGUACGUA